This 73-nucleotide transfer RNA is filed under the name Stylophora pistillata. Its description in RNAcentral is "tRNA-Pro". It matches the Rfam family "tRNA". Rfam says of the family: Transfer RNA (tRNA) molecules are approximately 80 nucleotides in length. Their secondary structure includes four short double-helical elements and three loops (D, anti-codon, and T loops). Lineage: Eukaryota; Metazoa; Cnidaria; Anthozoa; Scleractinia; Pocilloporidae. The record is from RNAcentral.
GGCCGGUUGGUCUAGUGGCAUGAUUCUCGCUUAGGGUGCGAGAGGUCCCGGAUUCAAUUCCCGGACAGGCACA